RNAcentral lists this ribosomal RNA (497 nucleotides) under uncultured bacterium. RNAcentral describes it as "partial 16S ribosomal RNA". It matches the Rfam family "Bacterial small subunit ribosomal RNA", at positions 28 to 507 of the family's 1533-position model. The record is from RNAcentral.
GAUGAACGCUGGCGGCGUGCCUAAUACAUGCAAGUCGAGCGAACAGACGAGGAGCUUGCUCCUCUGACGUUAGCGGCGGACGGGUGAGUAACACGUGGAUAACCUACCUAUAAGACUGGGAUAACUUCGGGAAACCGGAGCUAAUACCGGAUAAUAUAUUGAACCGCAUGGUUCAAUAGUGAAAGACGGUUUUGCUGUCACUUAUAGAUGGAUCCGCGCCGCAUUAGCUAGUUGGUAAGGUAACGGCUUACCAAGUCGACGAUGCGUAGCCGACCUGAGAGGGUGAUCGGCCACGCUGGAACUGAGACACGGUCCAGACUCCUACGGGAGGCAGCAGUAGGGAAUCUUCCGCAAUGGGCGAAAGCCUGACGGAGCAACGCCGCGUGAGUGAUGAAGGGCUUCGGAUCGUAAAACUCUGUUAUUAGGGAAGAACAAAUGUGUAAGUAACUAUGCACGUCUUGACGGUACCUAAUCAGAAAGCCACGGCUAACUACGUG